CCAAGUCAAAUGCCUUAAACUUAAUUUUCCCAAUACUUAGUUCUUCAGAUGUGGGAUACUGGGUAGGUUGAUGCUGAACCAAUCUCUAUGAUCAGAAUGAAAAAUACCGUUAAGUAAAAUGAUAUGCUGGAUGUCAAAAAAGAAGAGGCUAUAAAAUCAUCUACGCAUACAUACACACAUUUGUACGAAACUUUCAAAUUUCGACUCAACUAUGCCAAAAGCCGCUUGCUAAUCAAUUAAAUUCCAAAAUUAUAAACUAGCCUAUUAAUCGAAUUAAACAAUUAUGUUUAUCUAAUAAAUUAAAACCUACUUCCAAAAGUGAGAAAUAUGUGGGAGUGUUUGGCUAAAUUUUCAAAAAUUUUGAGUAAAAAAAUGACCGAUUAACUGGAAAACCCUGAGUUCGUAAGUCUCAGCAAGCCAAUAGCAAUAAGAGAUCUCAAACUUUCCUUCCGUUACCUAAUUCGAAAUGUAAAAUCGAAUACAGUAAUCAAUCAACUAAAUUAUACAACCAACAAAGGCGAAAUCAACAAACAAUCGAACCUCAUCUUUCAACAUGUGAAGCAAGGUGGUUUUUCCGGCAUUAUCGAGACCUAAAAACAAGAUCUUGGCCUCUUUCUGCCACAAACCGAGAGAGGCGAGGACGCCAUAGAACCAAUCCAGGAGAAACAUGGCUUCUGUAGUGUAGAUAGUGAUGAGAAUAUCAGAUCCCUGAAUGGAGAGCUCGAAUAUGUGAUUAUCCUUCGAAGUCCGGGCACG
This 756-nucleotide long non-coding RNA is filed under the name Jatropha curcas. RNAcentral describes it as "long non-coding RNA (JCUR_LNC002490)". The record is from RNAcentral. Lineage: Eukaryota; Viridiplantae; Streptophyta; Magnoliopsida; Malpighiales; Euphorbiaceae.